UGAUAUGACGCUUUCGGAGGAGGAAGAACUCCAAGAAGAGUUAAAAACAACAUGACGUAAGGCAGAGCAGCCCAAAAACAGUACCAACCCACCAACUCCUGUAUUGUCUCAGAUCUUCCCCAUAAAUCUCUCUCCACCUCUGCCCACCUCCCCAUCUGAGCUAAUAACUCAUAACAAUUAUUGAUGAAUUUAGCUUGUGAUGGGGUGGAUCAAUAAUGUGGUUUCCUCAUCCAUCCCUAUUACUAUGUCAAAUACAUCUAAUCUGGUCGCGAUUCAAAAUUUAGUUAUUGUGAUUGUACUAUCCACAACGCGAUGGCAAGCGAGCUGCUCCUCCUCGUAGUCUUGUCGGAUACCUAUUUUUGAAAAAAUACUAGAAAUUUUUUCAAGAAUAGUAACUAAAGGCAGCAAAUGUUUAAGAAAGCUUUUCGUGUUUAAUUAAAACAACAAAUUUUUUUCUAGAAAAUGCAUCAGUGUGAAAAUUGUAAUAAACAAUUUACAACGCGCCAAUCGCGUAUGCGUCAUGAGAAAAAUUAUUGUAAAGUAGUGAGACGAGAAGGAGUGAGUCCGGUCGCCAAAAAACAUUAAUGUAUGACUUUUUCUACAAUUUCCAGAAAGUUAAAUAUAGGAAUAAUGUUCAACUUUUAUAUACCGAUACGGAUUCAUUGGUAUUGGAAAUUUUUACGGACAAAGUAUAUGAUGACAUUAAAGAACAUAUUUAUAGGUUUGAUACUUCAAAUUAUGAAGACCAAAAUAUUCAUAAUAUGCAUAAAACCGUCUCUUAUUGGUAAAAUGAAAGAUUAGUAUGCUGAUUUACCAAUUCUACUCUUUUACGGUACCGGUGCCAAAGCAUAUUGUGUGCAAACACAACGAUUUAAUUAAAAAAAGCUAAAGGUGUAAGCAAACAAGUAAUUGAUAAAUCUUUAACAUUUUUUCAAUAUCAAGAAAUUGCAACAGAUCCUUCAUCUUCAUCAGUUUUCUGUAUUAUGAACGUUUUUAAAUCCGAUUUACACAAUCUCCAAACUUAGCUAAUUGGGCUGGGUUCCAGGGCCCUAUUUACUUUAUGCAAAGCUUAUGUUUGAAAACUAAGCUAUUCAAGAGCUAAUUUUAAAUGCUACGGUUGAUAAGUCGAUCCAAAAAUGCAGUUAAAUGUCAUAACGGAAAUAGGUAAUUUAUUACCACAAUUAGAUUUCAAUGGUUGCAUCGCCCAAGACAAUGUUUGUAGCUGAGUGUGUGGUUAGUGUAAAAUAAAAUAAAAUUAAAUAUAGAUCUAGUUUAGAAAUCCCUGUUUCCGAUAUUAGUCAAGUUAAAAACAAAAUUAUAGAAGAGUGUGAUAAUGAAAAAGUAAGUCAUUGUAAUAAAUGUAAAAAGUUAGCUUUUAGAAAACGUAUAGUCGUAGGAAUAACUCAUUUUUUUGUAGACAUUAAAUUUCGAUAGCAAAAUUUUUGAACUAGAUUGUAAGUUGGAAGAAAUUCCAUAUGUAAUAAAAUUAGGCAACAGUAUUACCUAUGCAUUACGUGGCAUAAUCGGCACGUUGGCCCCAAUGUAGGAGUAGGUCAUUUUAGUGCCUACUAUUUGUGACAUAGUAAUAUAUGGGAAACAUACGAUGACCGCUUUAGUAAAACCGAACCCUGUUCUAAAUGCCAAAUAGUAAAUUGUCAACUUUUUUUAUACCCAUUUGACCUGAAAUAAAAUGUUUACGUUAAUUAAAUUUUAUCUGUUUAUUUAAGAUAAAAUAAAUGUCUGUUCGUAAAAAAUGACAACUGAGAUAAAGUUUACUGCGCAAUUUGACCCGAAAUAAUGACAGGAAGAGGAGGUAACGACUUUGCCAGCGCCGUUCACAAAAUUUUGGAAAAGGUUCUAAAUGAUCAUCCUGACAUCUCGGAAAUCACUCUCUGGCUGGAGUGAGAGCUGCAUUCCACAGAACAGGAACAGCUUCAUGACUUUUACCGCAGCACUCGUGGAGGAUUACCUGCGACUACAUUUAAAAACAUUCUAAAUUAAGUUUGCCCCAAAAUAAAAUAAAUGCAAUUCGAAGCAUGUUUCUAUUGAUGCCGAAGUUAGAUCAGGACUACUUGAAAGCGAUUAAACCUAAUGGACCCAUUGCAUCUAAUUUUUUAAGGAUACCGCAUGCGACACCUCCGCCCCAUUUGUAACCGCGAAAAAGAAAUGGCCCAAUCACAAAUGAACAGUGAAACUCAUGUGUAACCUAUGGUGUUUAGGUUGGUUGUCUGAAUGUCCACCGCUAAAUCCACAAACAACACUAUACCAGCUUAUAUUAGCGUACUCACGUGGUUAUAGUGUUUCGUAUUUCGUUUUGUGUAUUUCGUGUGGUUUCCUGCAAGUAUGUAGACCAAAAGCUUGGAAAAGCUGCAGCAAUUUGAGUUUGAUGAACUAAAAACAUUUUUAAAAUCAACGGAAGCAAUCCAAGAAAAGUUUUCGCGAGGUUAUAAAUUCUUCGUUGAGGGCUACCUCCAUGACGUGUGGACGCAUACUCGUAAAAGCGAAAACAAUGUGGUAGUAAAGGCGGCCAAAUGCUACCACAGUCAGAAAAAGACACAAAAACGCAAUAGCACUCAAAUUAGUUUCAAGUUUAAAGUAAAGAGUGGAAAUGUGAGUGUUGAGGAAUAGCCAUUGCUCCUGUGUAAUUGGGUUAUCGGAAUCAUGCCAUCACGUUGUAGCUUUAGGCUACAGUGCAAGACAUGAUCUUUCGUGAGGUGUUAGGAAUUAUGCCAGAGAAACUGAGUGUAACCCAAAAGCCAAUAGCAUGGAUCAAGCCACUUGAAAAUAUUAUGAAUGUUUCAUUCGUAAAAUCACAAAAAAUGGACAGCAAGAAGGGGCCAGAGUUCAGUGUAGCAGCAGGGAACCAAAAAUAUGCUGCAAGUGUGAGAGACUCAGCAAAACACAAAAUAUAAAAGAAAUGGCAGGAAAGUUAAAACGUAAACCCGAGUAUCUCCUUUGCCUAUUUGUUUGAUAAAUACAACGAGGGUAGUACAACUUAGGGUAUUGAAGGCAUUGCGACCACAUUUUGAACUGCAGAUCCCGAAAUGACGAUUAAAGCAUUACAAUCAGCAACUGUGGCACCUGAGGGUGUCACUGAUGUGCAGCCCCAAACCAUGCCAGAGACACAGCCACGCUUAAGCGCUUUAUCGGCAAAUAUUUUGUUAAGCCAGCCACCAAUAGUUAUAGAAGAGUGGAAGACAUUUAAUUUUAACCAAGCGCAAACAGUAGAAGGCUCAACGCGCAAGCAAGUACUUUGCAGCAAAUGGUUUCUGCAAAAGCAAAAAAGGUUUACUACUUCUCAUUUUGGCGAGUUGGCCCAACGGAAAAAAGAGGUAGACCUAAAGUUUUUUUUUUUUGAAAUUGUGGCAACAGAAGGAUUUAUCGCGUAUCAGUACAGUACAGCAUGGAAUUCGAGAAGAAGCAAAUGCCAGGGUACUGUACACAACACACACGGGCAACAAGGUGUUUGACUGCGGGCUGGUGAUAUAUGGGUACAAGCCCAGAUGGCAUUAUUCAACAUGGGAAGAGGCGCUCAAAUCCAAAAACUUCUGCAAGCAAAAUGACGUGCAAAGCCAGAUGCUUCUGUGUGGAUUGGAGUGGUGCGACUUUUGCAUAUUUUUUGCAAAAUCGAACGAAUUAGUAGUAGAACGCAUCUAUUUCAAUAAAAGGUUUUGUUGCGAAAUGUACGAGAAACUAUAAAAGCGUUGGUUACAAUUGAAUAAUAGAAAUAAAUAAUAAUGAUAUAAUUGAGUUUAUAUUGGCGUUCAAGAUCUAAGUGGAUAUCUAAAAUUAGAAGCUCAGUUUCUAGUGUGUACAGCAUUUUAAAAAAGUACAAUAAAAACGAACAUUCAUUUAGACCCCCCAAAAAAUAUACCGUUUGAGAUCAUCAGUACUUGAUAACAUCACAGAAGAAGACAAAAAUUCUUUACGAAGACUAGUGCAUUCAUUCUUCUUAAAAAAUGAGCCACCGACAGUACAAAAAAUUUAUGAAGCUCUGCAUGAACGUGAAGAUCUACCACAUUUGAAAAAGACUUCAUAGAAAAUAUUGCUCAAAGAACUAAACUUUCGAUACAAAGGAAGGCCAAGAAAUAGCAUACUAAAAGAACAAAAUUAAAUAAUAGCAUAGAGAAGAAAAUAUUUGCGGGAAAUCAAAAAAUACAAGGAGGCAAAUAGAAAAAUUUAUUACUUAGAUGAAACCUGGAUUAACGCAGGACACACAGUACCCAAAGUGUGGUGUAACACAACAGUAACAAACCCAAGACAAGCCUUUAUUACUGGUUUGUCAACUGGAUUAAGGAAUUCAUCAGGAAAGGGAAGCCGCUUCAUAAUUUUACAUAUGGGUUCAGACGAGGGAUAGGUAGGAAAUGGGCUUCUGAUAUUUGAAUCCAAAAAGAGUGGUGAUUAUCACGAGGAAAUGAAUGCCACGGUUUUUGAACAUUGGUUUCAAAAUAUUUUACCAAGUAUAGAAGAAAACAGUAUCACUGUGUUAGACAAUGCGUCAUACCAUAGUCGCAAAGUGGAAAAAUCUCUAAAUAGUGGGACCAAAAAAAGAGACAUUCAAAACUGGUUAACACAAAAAAAUAUACCAUACGAAAAGAAUAUGGUCAAAGCCGAACUGCUACAAUUAGUAAAGGCGAAUAAACAUCUAUCUAACAACAUCGCUUUUGUUGAUCAAUUGGCCAGAAAUUCAAAUAGAAUUGUUCUGAGAAUGCCACCUUACCAUUCUGAACUAAACCCAAUUGAAUUGGUUUGGAGUCAGGUCAAAGGUGAGGUGGCAAGGAAAAAUACAACUUUUAAGUUGAACCAUGUCAAAGAGUUGUUCAUGGAAGCACUAAACAACGUGACGGCUGUAUUCGUCAUGUGGAUGGUGUAGAGAAGAAGAUUCGAUCUUAUCAUGGAAACCCAGGUUGAACGAUUAAUAAUAAAUUUGGGAAAUGAGUCAGAAUCAACUACAGAUUCUGACUCAGAUCAGUCUGAAUAAUAAAAAUGUAUAUUUUAUAAAAUUUUCUUUAUUAUUUCA
Molecule: long non-coding RNA, 5020 nt
Organism: Tribolium madens (black flour beetle)
Lineage: Eukaryota; Metazoa; Arthropoda; Insecta; Coleoptera; Tenebrionidae
Exons: 6
Source: RefSeq, a predicted model, not a curated record